GACGAAGGGGGCUAGCGUUGUUCGGAAUUACUGGGCGUAAAGCGCGUGUAGGCGGUUGCCCAAGUAGGGUGUGAAAGCCUUGAGCUCAACUCAAGAAAUGCACUCGGUACUGGGUGACUAGAGGACCGGAGAGGAUAGUGGAAUUCCCAGUGUAGUGGUGAAAUACGUAGAGAUUGGGAAGAACACCAGUGGCGAAGGCGGCUAUCUGGACGGUUUCUGACGCUAAGACGCGAAAGCGUGGGGAGCAAACAGG
RNAcentral lists this ribosomal RNA (253 nucleotides) under uncultured bacterium. Its description in RNAcentral is "partial 16S ribosomal RNA". It matches the Rfam family "Bacterial small subunit ribosomal RNA", at positions 524 to 776 of the family's 1533-position model. The record is from RNAcentral.